UACGUAGGGGGCGAGCGUUAUCCGGAAUUACUGGGCGUAAAGCGCACGCAGGCGGUUCGCCAAGCUUGGAGUGACAGUUGUCGGCUCAACCGACAAAGGACUUCAAAAACUGGUGAACUUGAGGACGAGAGAGGAACAUGGAACUCCAGGUGUAGUAGUGAUAUGCGUAGAUAUCUGGAAGAACACCAAUGGCGAAGGCAAUGUUCUGGCUCGUUUCUGACGCUCAGGUGCGAAAGCCAGGGGAGCGAACGGG
This 253-nucleotide ribosomal RNA is filed under the name uncultured bacterium. RNAcentral's name for it is "partial 16S ribosomal RNA". It matches the Rfam family "Bacterial small subunit ribosomal RNA", at positions 524 to 776 of the family's 1533-position model. The record is from RNAcentral.